GGAUUAGAUACCCUGGUAGUCCACACCGUAAACGAUGGAAGCUAGCUGUCAGAAUGUAUACAUUUUGGUGGCGCAGCUAACGCAUUAAGCUUCCCGCCUGGGGAGUACGGUCGCAAGAUUAAAACUCAAAGGAAUUGACGGGGGCCCGCACAAGCGGUGGAGCAUGUGGUUUAAUUCGAAGCGACGCGCAGAACCUUACCAGCCCUUGACAUACCGAUCGCGGUUUCCAGAGAUGGAUUCCUUCAGUUAGGCUGGAUCGGAUACAGGUGCUGCAUGGCUGUCGUCAGCUCGUGCCG
Molecule: ribosomal RNA, 296 nt
Filed under: uncultured bacterium
Lineage: Bacteria
Description: partial 16S ribosomal RNA
Rfam family: Bacterial small subunit ribosomal RNA
Source: RNAcentral